AUUCCAGCUCCAAUAGCGUAUAUUAAAGUUGUUGCAGUUAAAACGCUCGUAGUCGGAUUUCGGGGCGGGCCGACCGGUCUGCCGAUGGGUAUGCACUGGCCGGCGCGUCCUUCCACCCGGAGACCGCGCCUACUCUUAACUGAGCGGGCGCGGGAGACGGGUCUUUUACUUUGAAAAAAUCAGAGUGUUUCAAGCAGGCAGUCGCUCUUGCAUGGAUUAGCAUGGGAUAAUGAAAUAGGACUCUGGUGCUAUUUUGUUGGUUUCGAACACCGGAGUAAUGAUUAACAGGGACAGUCAGGGGCACUCGUAUUCCGCCGAGAGAGGUGAAAUUCUCAGACCAGCGGAAGACGAACCACUGCGAAAGCAUUUGCCAGGGAUGUUUUCAUUA
This 388-nucleotide ribosomal RNA is filed under the name Gephyrocapsa sp. Its description in RNAcentral is "partial small subunit ribosomal RNA". It matches the Rfam family "Eukaryotic small subunit ribosomal RNA", at positions 582 to 975 of the family's 1831-position model. Lineage: Eukaryota; Haptophyta; Isochrysidales; Noelaerhabdaceae. The record is from RNAcentral.